GCGAAGAAGGACGUGGCUACCGGCGAAACGUUUCGGGGAGUUGGAAGUAAGCUUUGAUCCGAAAGUGUCCGAAUGAGGAAACUCUUUUACUUUUUACUUGAAAGUAAAGAAGAACGAACCUAGGGAAUUGAAACAUCUUAGUACCUAGAGGAACAGAAAGUAAAAACGAUUCCCGGAGUAGUGGCGAACGAAAUGGGAACAGCCUAAACUUUUUUCUCUGACUACCCUGAAAGAGGGUAGGAGGCUGCAAGCCGAAAAGAUAUAGAAAAAGGGGUUGAAAGGUCGAGAGUGAAGAGUUCUCGAUUGGGGAGAAAAAACUAAGUCAGUGAGGCCUUUAGCAAGCCGAAAGUCCUAAUUCUCAAAAUUAGAUUUAUUUCUAAGACAUUAGGUAUUGCUAGUAGAAACUAGUUGCCUAGAAACAGAGAUUUUUUUUGAUGAAAGAAACUUUCAUAGAAUCAAAUUAUCAAAAAAGAAUGUGCUAGUGAGAAAUCGCUUGUAUAGGUAAUAUGAAAAGAGGUGAAAUGAAUUGGAAAAUUCUACCAAAGAAAGUGAUAGUCUUGUAACCAAAAUUCAUUCAUGAAGGUACGUAACGUUUUUUCCCGAGUAGCAUGGGGCACGUGGAAUCCCGUGUGAAUCUGCGAGGACCACCUCGUAAGGCUAAAUAUUCCUGGAUGUCCGAUAGUGUAGAGUACCGCGAGGGAAAGGUGAAAAGAACCCCGGGAGGGGAGUGAAAUAGAACGUGAAAUUGCAAGCUUACAAACAGAAGGAGAACGACUUAGCGUUUGACUUCGUGCCUGUUGAAGAAUGUUCCGGCGACUUAUUGUUAGUGGCAGGUUAAACUCGAGAGAGUGGAGCCAGAGUGAAAGCGAGCUUGAAUAGAGCGAUCGUCCCUAGUGAUAGACCCGAACCCGGUUGAUCUAACCAUGACCAGAAUGAAACUUAGGUAAAACUAAUUGGAGGUUCGAACCGACUGAUGUUGAAAAAUCAGCGGAUGAGUUGUGGUUAGGGGUGAAAUGCCAAUCGAAACCGGAGCUAGCUGGUUCUCCCCGAAAUGUAUUGAGGUGCAGCGGUUACUAUUAAAAUGUAGGGGUAAAGCACUGUUUCGGUGCGGGCUGGUAAUUCGGUACCAAAUCGAGGCAAACUCUGAAUACUACAUGUAUGGUUAGCCAGUAAGACUAUGGGGGAUAAGCUUCAUAGUCAAGAGGGAAACAGCCCAGAUCACCAGCUAAGGCCCCCAAAUAUUUGCUAAGUGAUAAAGGAAGUGGAAAGGCUUAGACAACCAGGAGGUUUGCUUAGAAGCAGCAAUCCUUUAAAAAGUGCGUAAUAGCUUACUGGUCUAGCAAUUCUGCGCCGAAAACUUACGGGACUCAAGCAAAUUGCCGAAGCUGUGAGAUAAUUUUGAUUCCGAAAAUGGAUCGAUUAUCGGUAGGGGAGCGUUCUGCGGUAGAGUGAAGUAUUAGCGAAAGCGGGUAUGGACGAAGCAGAAGUGAGAAUGUCGGAUUGAGUAGCGAAAACAUUGGUGAGAAUCCAAUGCUCCGAAAACCUAAGGUUUCCUCCGGAAGGCUCGUCCGCGGAGGGUGAGUCAGGUCCUAAGGUGAGGCUGAAAAGCGUAGUCGAUGGACAAUGGGUAAACAUUCCCAUACUAAUUUGGACUGGUAUCGAGGGACGAAGCAGGCUAAACUAGCCAGAGAUUGGUUACUGGUUGAAGUUAUCGAGGUGAAGAAGAUUAGUGAAAAUAAUCGGAGCGAAGAAACGAAUACAUGAUUGAAAAAUCUAAGUAGUUGAUGUCAUACUUCCAAGAAAAGCUCGCUAGGCCAUAAGUCCAAAUUACCUGUACCUGAAACCGACACAGGUAGGUAGGUAGAGAAUACCAAGGAGCGCGGGAGAACCCUCCUUAAGGAACUCGGCAAAAUAACUCUGUAACUUCGGAAGAAAGAGUGCCUAUUAGGCUGCAAUAUCAAGUUCCAAGCAACUGUUUAGCAAAAACACAGGUCUCCGCUAAGUGGUAACACGACGUAUGGGGGCUGACGCCUGCCCAGUGCUGGAAGGUUAAAGAAGUCGGUUAGCGCAAGCAAAGCUGGUAACUGAAGCCCCAGUGAACGGCGGCCGUAACUAUAACGGUCCUAAGGUAGCGAAAUUCCUUGUCAGGUAAGUUCUGACCCGCACGAAUGGCGUAAUGAUUUGGAAGCUGUCUCAGGGAGGGACUCGGCGAAAUAGAACUGGCUGUGAAGAUGCGGCCUACCUGCGCCUGGACAGUAAGACCCUAUGAAGCUUUACUGUAUCCUGAUAUUGGAUUUCGAUUGGAUCUGCGCAGAAUAGGUGGGAGACGGGGAACCCUAUCUUUUGGGAUAGGGGGAGUCAUUCGUGAGAUACCACUCUGAUCCAAUUAAAAUUCUAACUUCUUAUCGUUAGCCGAUGGAAAGACAGUUUCAGGUGGGCAGUUUGACUGGGGCGGUCGCCUACUAAAAGGUAACGUAGGCGUACAAAGGUUUCCUCCGAUCGGUCAGAAAUCGAUCUUCGAGUGUAAAGGCAAAAGGAAGCUUAACUGUGAGACCCACAAGUCGAACAGAGACGAAAGUCGGUCUUAGUGAUCUGACGCUGCUGUGUGGAAAGGGCGUCACUCAACGGAUAAAAGUUACUCUAGGGAUAACAGGCUGAUCUCCCCCAAGAGUUCCUAUCGACGGGGAGGUUUGGCACCUCGAUGUCGGCUCAUCGCAUCCUGGAGCGGUAGUACGUUCCAAGGGUUGGGCUGUUCGCCCAUUAAAGCGGUACGUGAGCUGGGUUCAGAACGUCGCGAGACAGUUCGGUCCAUAUCCGGCGUGGGCGUUGGAGUAUUGAGAGUGACCUUUCUCUAGUACGAGAGGACCGAGAAAGAUAUACCUCUAGUGUACCAGUUAUCGUGCCAUCGGUACACGCUGGGUAGCUAUGUAUAGUUAGGAUAACCGCUGAAAGCAUCU
Molecule: ribosomal RNA, 2957 nt
Filed under: Mallomonas lacuna
Lineage: Eukaryota; Synurophyceae; Synurales; Mallomonadaceae
Description: bacterial LSU rRNA
Rfam family: Bacterial large subunit ribosomal RNA
Source: RNAcentral